RNAcentral lists this ribosomal RNA (497 nucleotides) under uncultured bacterium. Its description in RNAcentral is "partial 16S ribosomal RNA". It matches the Rfam family "Bacterial small subunit ribosomal RNA", at positions 28 to 507 of the family's 1533-position model. The record is from RNAcentral.
GAUGAACGCUGGCGGCGUGCCUAAUACAUGCAAGUCGAGCGAACAGACGAGGAGCUUGCUCCUCUGACGUUAGCGGCGGACGGGUGAGUAACACGUGGAUAACCUACCUAUAAGACUGGGAUAACUUCGGGAAACCGGAGCUAAUACCGGAUAAUAUAUUGAACCGCAUGGUUCAAUAGUGAAAGACGGUUUUGCUGUCACUUAUAGAUGGAUCCGCGCCGCAUUAGCUAGUUGGUAAGGUAACGGCUUACCAAGGCGACGAUGCGUAGCCGACCUGAGAGGGUGAUCGGCCACACUGGAACUGAGACACGGUCCAGACUCCUACGGUAGGCAGCAGUAGGGAAUCUUCCGCGAUGGGCGAAAGCCUGACGGAGCAACGCCGCGUGAGUGAUGAAGGUCUUCUGAUCGUAAAACUCUGUUAUUAGGGAAGAACAAAUGUGUAAGUAACUAUGCACGUCUUGACGGUACCUAAUCAGAAAGCCACGGCUAACUACGUG